CGAGACAAAGAUGACUACGUUCCUGAGGACGUUUUGACACCAGGACAUAACGAAGGCAAAAUACAUGAUCAUUCGCGUGUGAAACUGAAUGUGACGGAAGCAGUAAAAUCGGAUUACAUUAAUGCUAAUUACAUAGACGGUUACAAGAAGG
Molecule: long non-coding RNA, 151 nt
Organism: Gigantopelta aegis
Lineage: Eukaryota; Metazoa; Mollusca; Gastropoda; Neomphalida; Peltospiridae
Exons: 3
Source: RefSeq, a predicted model, not a curated record